Molecule: small nucleolar RNA, 107 nt
Organism: Prosopis cineraria
Lineage: Eukaryota; Viridiplantae; Streptophyta; Magnoliopsida; Fabales; Fabaceae
Source: RefSeq, a predicted model, not a curated record
AAAUUAUGGUGUGGACAUUGUCUUAAUAGUGUAUCGAAAUGUUCCCAUACUUCAUGAAAUGAUGCCCUAGGCAUUUGGGAAAAAUGAAAAAUCUUCUCCCUUAUUUC